RNAcentral lists this ribosomal RNA (557 nucleotides) under uncultured Bradyrhizobium sp. Its description in RNAcentral is "bacterial SSU rRNA". It matches the Rfam family "Bacterial small subunit ribosomal RNA", at positions 102 to 694 of the family's 1533-position model. The record is from RNAcentral. Lineage: Bacteria; Pseudomonadati; Pseudomonadota; Alphaproteobacteria; Hyphomicrobiales; Nitrobacteraceae.
ACGGGUGAGUAACGCGUGGGAACGUACCUUUUGGUUCGGAACAACACAGGGAAACUUGUGCUAAUACCGGAUAAGCCCUUACGGGGAAAGAUCUAUCGCCGAAAGAUCGGCCCGCGUCUGAUUAGCUAGUUGGUGAGGUAAUGGCUCACCAAGGCGACGAUCAGUAGCUGGUCUGAGAGGAUGAUCAGCCACAUUGGGACUGAGACACGGCCCAAACUCCUACGGGAGGCAGCAGUGGGGAAUAUUGGACAAUGGGCGCAAGCCUGAUCCAGCCAUGCCGCGUGAGUGAUGAAGGCCCUAGGGUUGUAAAGCUCUUUUGUGCGGGAAGAUAAUGACGGUACCGCAAGAAUAAGCCCCGGCUAACUUCGUGCCAGCAGCCGCGGUAAUACGAAGGGGGCUAGCGUUGCUCGGAAUCACUGGGCGUAAAGGGUGCGUAGGCGGGUCUUUAAGUCAGGGGUGAAAUCCUGGAGCUCAACUCCAGAACUGCCUUUGAUACUGAAGAUCUUGAGUUCGGGAGAGGUGAGUGGAACUGCGAGUGUAGAGGUGAAAUUCGUAGA